UCAUUGAAAACUGCAGCCUGAGACAAGCAUCCUAGGAGCUGCUCUUCCACCAGGAGCUAGUCCAGCUCUGAUGAUUGAAUUAGAUUAAAUUGCACUGAGAAGAAUUGCACUGAGUUGCCCUGAGAUAGAAAUGGGAAAUGAAAGUGCAGGUGGGGACUAGGAUACUGUGAAGACAUACUCUGACUUCCAGAAUCCCGCUAAGCUCACAGCCAGGCACAUUGUAGGCAUAUUGCAAGAUGCUCAGAAAAUGUGUGUCAGAUGGAAGGGAAUGGGAGCGCAGAAGUUCAGCAUGGCCAUGCUCAUUCACAUUUAUUCCCAAGUCUGGCUCAGGUUUGGAUGGGGGAGAGGUAGAGCCUGUUUUUAUUUGCUGUCGGUUUGGUUUGAUUUUCACUGUAUCAACUUCCCUGGAAGGGAAGGGGCCCCUCAGGUGAAUGGCGAGGAACCCCAGAUCAGGCCUGGCUUAUAUUCUCAUAACUUUCUCAUAUUACUGGCUCUGGAUACUGCUGCACAGGCCGCCUCAUUGUGUAAAAGUCCCCCAAGAAUCCUGGUGCACCCUCCGACCAUCCUAACUCCCCACAAGAUGACCGCCUUCCCAAGCAUAACAGCCAGGAAUUCCCCGACGUGAGUGACCCCAAGCACAUAAAAGGUGCACAAAGGCAAAAAAAUAAUAGCUUUCCUUUAUUUCACACACCGCCCGCAACGCAACGCCAUAAAGCAUUUGAUUUAGGAUAUUAAAUGCCGCUGGUGAUGAGAACGUCAUGUAAGAUUUGCUUUGCGACUUCUUUCUUCUCAAACUGUCAUUAAAAAUGAUUUAUAGGUGAACCCAAGUCUGAGAAACAACAUGAUUAGAAUCAAGGGUUUGGGAAGGGGAUGGUGUGGGGAUCAGAUUUCCAGGGCAGCCCCACUAUCCAGUCUCAGAGACGGAAAAGGCUGAGUGUGAGACCCAACCGCUAACGAUUUCAAAGUGUGGAUUGAUUUACUUCCGUUAUACUUAGCUUGCAAGGAAAAAAGAAGAAGAGAGAGAGAACAAUGAACAGUGAAUCGACUUGGCUUCAUGACCACCUUCCCUUGUUGGGUAACUAGGCCUUACAUAUGCGGACUGAUUGAAUUAUUCCACUUCCACAGAGAGAGAGAAAGCAAGGACGAAAUCUUCCUCCUGAUUGCUGUCCCUUUGGGUUUCCUGCCCAGGAAAAAUGGUGCAGGAUGAAGGAGCAGCUAUUAGAAACCACAAAGAAGCAAAACUAACUCAUAUAUUUGGAUUCAAUCUUGGCUGGCUUGAAUUACUAAGCUAAAUAGUUGGAGCUUUAUUCUGUAGUACUGGAGGCCCUUAAAGAUAUUUGGGUAUAGAAAAUAUGCAGUGAAUUCUAACCUCCAAACUCUACUGUUUACUGGGAUAUCUAAGUGAUGGACCCAAUAUUAGAAAAUCCAAGCAUAAAAAUUGGAUAUAUGUGCAUAAUCUGGGGUGAUGUGUAG
RNAcentral lists this long non-coding RNA (1473 nucleotides) under Homo sapiens (human). RNAcentral's name for it is "HSALNT0195397". The record is from RNAcentral. Lineage: Eukaryota; Metazoa; Chordata; Mammalia; Primates; Hominidae.